GGCAAAAGAAAAAUCAAGAAAAUAAAACCAGGAAGGGAACAAAGGCGAAGCUGCCAAACAAAAGCCAAAGGCCAACAAGCUGCUGCAAAAACCAAGCAAACAAAACAAGAUCCAAUAAACUUCCAAGCAAAGUAGAGGAAGCAAAGCAAAUUCAAGUUACUGCUAAUUUUGGUCCUUAUACUAAUAUGCAUGAAGAAUGGAACUUGGAUUAAGGGUCGGCAUGAUAGUGAAAUGGACGUCAGGCAAAAGACAUCAUGGCUGGUUCUAACUUGCCCAGAAACUUCUCCUCCAGAAACUCCUCUGCAAAUGAC
This 311-nucleotide unclassified non-coding RNA is filed under the name Hevea brasiliensis (rubber tree). Lineage: Eukaryota; Viridiplantae; Streptophyta; Magnoliopsida; Malpighiales; Euphorbiaceae. The record is from RNAcentral.